RNAcentral lists this ribosomal RNA (504 nucleotides) under uncultured bacterium. Its description in RNAcentral is "partial 16S ribosomal RNA". It matches the Rfam family "Bacterial small subunit ribosomal RNA", at positions 29 to 523 of the family's 1533-position model. The record is from RNAcentral.
AUUGAACGCUGGCGGCAGGCCUAACACAUGCAAGUCGAACGGUAGCACAGAGAGCUUGCUCUCGGGUGACGAGUGGCGGACGGGUGAGUAAUGUCUGGGAAACUGCCCGAUGGAGGGGGAUAACUACUGGAAACGGUAGCUAAUACCGCAUAACGUCGCAAGACCAAAGUGGGGGACCUUCGGGCCUCACACCAUCGGAUGUGCCCAGAUGGGAUUAGCGAGUAGGUGGGGUAAAGGCUCCCCUAGGCGACGAUACCUAGGUGGUCUGAGAGGAUGACCAGCCACACUGGAACUGAGACACGGUCCAGACUCCUACGGGAGGCAGCAGUGGGGAAUAUUGCACAAUGGGCGCAAGCCUGAUGCAGCCAUGCCGCGUGUAUGAAGAAGGCCUUCGGGUUGUAAAGUACUUUCAGCGGGGAGGAAGGCGGUGAAGUUAAUAACUUCACCGAUUGACGUUACCCGCAGAAGAAGCACCGGCUAACUCCGUGCCAGCCGCCGCCGUAA